RNAcentral lists this ribosomal RNA (253 nucleotides) under uncultured bacterium. RNAcentral describes it as "partial 16S ribosomal RNA". It matches the Rfam family "Bacterial small subunit ribosomal RNA", at positions 524 to 776 of the family's 1533-position model. The record is from RNAcentral.
UACAGAGGGGGCAAGCGUUGUUCGGAAUUACUGGGCGUAAAGGGCGCGUAGGCGGCCUGUUAAGUCGAACGUGAAAUCCCCGGGCUCAACCCGGGAACUGCGUCCGAUACUGGCAGGCUUGAAUCCGGGAGAGGGAUGUGGAAUUCCAGGUGUAGCGGUGAAAUGCGUAGAUAUUCGGAAGAACACCAGUGGCGAAGGCGACUCACUGGACACGUAUUGACGCUGAGGUGCGAAAGCGUGGGGAGCAAACAGG